Molecule: small RNA, 95 nt
Filed under: Paenibacillus sp. P22
Lineage: Bacteria; Bacillati; Bacillota; Bacilli; Caryophanales; Paenibacillaceae
Description: Termite-leu RNA
Source: RNAcentral
UAUAAAGGGCAGCCGCCAGUCUUGAACAGGACUGGCGGCUGCCCUUUUUUUCGAUGAACAAGAGGAAUCCGUUCUUCUGGAGUGCAGAAUGGAAG